Molecule: transfer RNA, 77 nt
Filed under: Clostridiaceae bacterium
Lineage: Bacteria; Bacillati; Bacillota; Clostridia; Eubacteriales; Clostridiaceae
Description: tRNA-Met
Rfam family: tRNA
About the family: Transfer RNA (tRNA) molecules are approximately 80 nucleotides in length. Their secondary structure includes four short double-helical elements and three loops (D, anti-codon, and T loops). Further hydrogen bonds mediate the characteristic L-shaped molecular structure. tRNAs have two regions of fundamental functional importance: the anti-codon, which is responsible for specific mRNA codon recognition, and the 3' end, to which the tRNAs corresponding amino acid is attached (by aminoacyl-tRNA synthetases). tRNAs cope with the degeneracy of the genetic code in two manners: having more than one tRNA (with a specific anti-codon) for a particular amino acid; and 'wobble' base-pairing, i.e. permitting non-standard base-pairing at the 3rd anti-codon position.
Source: RNAcentral
GGCGGUAUAGCUCAGUUGGCUAGAGCAUGCGGUUCAUACCCGCAGUGUCGUUGGUUCGAGUCCGACUACCGCCACCA